UAGCAGCCAUUAUAAAGUCGCCGCAUGAACUAUUAUUAUUAUAUAUAUCGUUUAUCCAAUUCACAAUAUUCGCAAACUUGUAAAUCGCAUAAAACAUUUCCGUCUUUUCCUGCUUCGUCCGCUUUACCUACUGUAUAAUGACUAGCGUAUAUAUAAUCACUUUCCGAAAUUGACUACUUGACGUUUUGAACAACAUGUAAAUAAAAAUGCAUACUUUAGUUAUAUAUAUAUAAUGUUGUGUAUGAAUGUUGUUGAAGCGAACGUUGUUGAACCAACAAAAGUACGACUCCUAAUAAAGGAAAACAAUAUAAAUUCAAAAUUGGUGUGAAAUCAACCACAACGGGCAAUGUCGCAGACUGAAGGAAAUGAUAUAUGCGCCAUAGGUUUUGAUGAGAAGGUAUUGCCGGCGAGAGUAGCGUGCGGUCGUUUACUUUGCUAUAAAUGCUUAAAAAUUAUGAAAUGUCACCCCGCCCAGUGAACUACUACGUGAUCUACUCGCUGCCUUAAAUGCCGCUUGCUCCUAAAAGAGGAAAAUCGAGAUGUUUAUUAAAAUGACAAAAUCACGUUUAAGAAGAAAAGAAAUACCCAAGUAAAAUCGAAACUCCUGAUACCACACGUACUACGCCCCUCAUUCCUAUGGCCCCUUAUCCUCAGCUUCUAAACUGAAGCGUCUACGGCAAUGAGAAAUAUGUUUCAUAUCAGCGAAAUGAUAGGCUUAACCCAGAAGAGAUCCAAAAGAAGUGAAGGACAUUUGCGAUACAAUUUUGAAUUAUGGAUCCUACUAUUAUUAUGAGAAAGAAGACAAUAGUGAACCUGUCGAAAAUAGUAAGAUAAA
Glossina fuscipes is the source of this 835-nucleotide long non-coding RNA. RefSeq lists it as uncharacterized. The record is from RefSeq and is a predicted model, not a curated record. Lineage: Eukaryota; Metazoa; Arthropoda; Insecta; Diptera; Glossinidae. The transcript has 2 exons.